AUGAAUGAGAUGCUGUACAGUACAAUCCUACUGACACAGCAGAGGGAUAACGACGGCUAUUCAACAUCGUUGCACGACACAUUCGAGCUGCAUGUUGCUGACAAAGUGACUAAAUCAUCUUUUUUGUGGUUUAUUGUCUUCAAACCAGCAGACAAAGCUGAUGGCAGAAGUAGUUUGGAGAAGAACUUCAGGCCGUGUACUGAAAAGAUCAAAGCAGCUCGUGCUCUGUCUGCUUCCAUUCUGAUGGCAAGAAGAAGAAGAAGAAGAAGAAUGCUUCAGCGAAGUGGCGUUCAUGGUCUCAGUGGACAGUCAUGGUCACACACUGCAUGUGGUUUUAAAAGCAACAUGUCUGUUCACAACAAUCGAGAUGUGUAAUAUUAGUGCAGCUACGGUUUGUUCUUGAACAUCAGUUCUGUUUUAUACUUUGACCACUUAGACCAAAAAAAGUGUUGUUUUCAGAUUCUUUCUUAUAAAUCUGUAAAGCACCUGCUCAUUUUUUAUUACAAUUAGUUUCACAUAAAUGUUAGUGUUUCCUUUAUGAUCUUUUAAUGCUUACACUACACUGUGCACAUCUACAUUAGAGACAUUUCUGUUACCUAUGUACAGUGUUGGGGAGUAACGGAAUACAUGUACCGCCGUUACGUAUUCAGAAUACAAAAUAUGAGUAACUGUAUUCCGUUACAGUUACCGUUUAAAAAGGUGGUAUUCAGAAUACAGUUACUUUGUUGAAAUAAAUGGAUUACACUGCGGUACUUCCCUGUUUCAUAUUGUCGCGGGUCAGGAUUGUUUGGGUUUGUUUGACAGCUAUGUUCUGUUGUUCCAGGCGGCAGCGUUACGGUUGCCAUGGUUACAGGGUGACGCGCUCUCUCUCUGCGUGUUUCCUGGGUGAGAGAGCGCCUUUUUGUUGUUGUUGCUGUGCUAAGCUAAUAGACAGAAUGCUACAGGCAUAGCUCUAAAGAAUGUAGCUUCAUAGGCAGUGUAGUCCGUGCUGCAGGGAGAAUGGACUGCCAUACCCGUUAUGUGUCUGUGAGCGAGGGAGGGAGAGAAAGGAAGUCCGAGCUGUCACGGAGCAAAAACGGGAGCUGGAAGCAUGUAAAUAUAAUAAUAACCACAGCAGCCAAGAAGAGUGCCUGACGAGCCCAUUUGUAAGUAAGCUAUUAAGACUCAACUGUACACUGUGUUCGUGUUUUCCUCCGGAAAAAAUAAGUUCCGUUGGAGCAGCCUUUCAACGCCUCUCUCUGUCUCUGGCAAGCAAAGUUGACCCAGACAACAAAGUAAAGCUAGUUUUCGGCUACCAGCCCGACACGGAACCCGAAGUAUUAGCCGGAGGUCCCUUUACUACGUUUCGGAGCCGCGGACCUUCAGUAACAGUAAUAAAUCACAGCAAUAGUACAUUCACGUAGUUGUAAACAGCAUGAUAAUAUAUUAAGUAAUCCAAAGUAUUCAGAAUACGUUACUCUCAUUGAGUAACGUAACGGAAUACGUUACAGAAUACAUUUUGGGGCAUGUAUUCAGUAUUCUGUAAUGGAAUACAUUUUAAAAGUAACCUUCCCAACACUGCCUAUGUAUGAGACUGGGCUGCUUGACUACGAUUUGGAAAUGGAUGCAAAAUCACACAGAUCGUGCUAUUGUUUGUUUUUUAAUAUGAUGGACUGAACACAGGAGGUAUCUGACUAAGCAAAGAUUAGUCCGAUCCCAUUUCUACCUGUCUCUACUGUUUCAACAUUUCACUGAAGUUUGCUCAACUGUAACUGUCAGGAUAUAUAUUUAUUCCAGCUCUCAUAGGGCAAAGGAAUGACUCAGACUUGUCAAAUGUUCUUUGAUUUGAUACACAAUAUGAAGUUCACAAUUUUCUUACAAAUAAAACUAUAAUGACAAACAUGAACAGCUGUGCUUAUUUCUGAGACAUGAUUUUUUUUAAAUGUGUUCAUAUUUAGACAUUUGUAUGCUGAAACUGUAAUGGUGAACCUGAGGUGAUGGUCAGCAGAAGGCAAAUAUAUAUAAAUAUAAAACAAUAUUGAAGUAAUGUCUUUACCCUGUGCAGCGUGUGGACGCUGUGCACACAAUCACCUUAUUCACUGUAGUAAACGUGCACCGCUAGCUCACGUGACUGACUGUCUCCAUGGUUACAUCGUAUAUUAUUAGCUAUGUAAACAGCUUCCAAAGAUACCGCCAUAGCUCUCUGCAGCUGUAACACUUUCACACUUUACAAAUCAUUUCACGUUUUUGAUAGUUAUGAAUAAAGAAUGUGUUUUAAAGACAUGCUAGGCUGUUGCUAUGGUGGUUGCUGUGGACUAGAGUGGACCGCGUCCGAUUCCUGUUAUUAGCUGUCCGCCAUAGGAAGGCUGCGUUCCAUUUAGAAGUAGCACCAGUCUGCCGUAACUCGAACUCAAACCCCGUUUUGUUCUGUAAUUAAAGGGCUUUUACAGCCGUUCAUGACAUGCACGCACACACACAUAAAGCACUUUGCCUCACCAUGAGAAUGCAACUUUACUAAAACCUUUAAAGUAUCUGAGUUAGGAUAGAAAAAUGAAGCAACCAGAGAUUUAAUGAUGAAGACUCUGGGUUCUGUAGUUCACGUUUUACAGUCCUGAAUGACUCACUGCAUAUCCAUAUAAUUUAUUGAAGAGGAGUUUAGAAUGCACUUUACAUUUAGACAGUUGCUGUUUAAUUUUUUACAUUGUUACCAUGUCAUGAAUAACGUUCACCUGCCAGGGGUUUGAUGGAUCAGCUGGACAAUACAGUCAAAGACAGACUUCAUUCAUCAUAUGCAAGAAUCCUAGUUGGAUUUUUGUUUUCACUCAUAUUUUAGAACCAAAUAUUGAAAACAACUGUGACAGACUGGAUACCUGGUCAGGGUGUACAUUACCUUGUACUCAAGCAUCCCAGGACAGAGCCCUGCCCCACCAUGAGCCUGAGUGGAUACAUGGUUAUAAUAUAAAAUGACUGAUACUGAAUAUGAAUAUUUCAUGAAAAUCAAAUUAUAAUAUGAAUUCCUAGGUGUUUGUUAUAUCCAGCAAGAGAUUGAUUACAUAUGUCUGAAUUGCUAACCCUAACCCUAGCUCAACAGACCACAAUGCCCUGGACUGUCAGUAUUAUUACAUGCUGUGAACAUAAGUAGCUUUGAUCACAGUUUAUGUUGUAAAAGAGAAGGAAUAUUGAAAAAAAGAUCAACAUUGUGAUAUUAUUUCUUCCAAACUGACCAGAAACAUGCUUGUCAGACUCUCACAGCAAAGGAUCAGACUCACUGUGCAUGACGGCUCAGGCCAAUAAUGUUUGUUAGAUUGUCAGUUGUUUAGUGCUUCUGUACAGUUAGGGUCACCAUCUCUAUUUCAGUAUAAUUAAUAUGCAGAAAACACUAAAAGUUGAUUGUCUUCCAAUAUUCUAGCAUAAUUAAAAAACUUUGACUUUGUUAGUACAUAUUGGUACAGUCCUAAUGCCAAUAUGAUUCUUCAUAAUGCCUGCUUUGAAAUACUGAACUUUAAAAUUUACCUGAUGAAAGAUAAUUUACAGUGGCACUCUGUCAGGAUAAUUCUGACUAUAAGAUCACUGUAUUAAUCUGAAUCCUUCUGCAAUGUGCUGUGAAUGAAUGCUGAUGCAACUGACUGUGGGAAAGCUGUUAAUAAAAUGAAUCUGUGACACAUGCAACACAUUCACAGAGGAAGAGGACACAAAGGGAGGACACGCAGAGGCUGUGUUAAAGUCAGAAAUCCAAAUCUUUAGUCAAAAACAGGCAGCGGUUACAAGACAAGCAGUCCAUUAAACAGUCUACAGAGUCAAACAUGCAGUGAAUUCAAACAACAGUAAAAAAUAACUGGACACUGAAAAACUUAAAGCAAUGUGUGAUGCAAUAAAAGGAAGCAGCAGAGUAUCUUCACUGAAUUAUCAUCAAUUACAAAAGAGAAAAACGACGAUUUCUACGGUUUGUUUUCUUAAAUGCAGUUAGAGUGUGGCUGGUAAAGAUGGAAACAUACGGAAUGUAAACUGUGUGAGUUUAGUGAACUUUGUUAGUAACAAAUGAGGUAAAAAACAAAACAAAACAAACCAGACAAAACACAGAAAGAGUCUCUCAGUAUUCAUUAAUAAUUAGAAAGCAUCUAAACAUUCUGGUCGUGGAUUUUUACAGUCUUAGUUCCGCUCGCUGUCAUUAUUAUAAUCAUCAUGAUCAAUGGCGAGGUCCUGAGGUGGGCGGGGCUGUCUCUGGUGAUGAAACCAUGAAGUUACAGCGUCUGGCACGUGUUGGUGAAACAUCCCAGUACACUGGUGUAGUUUCCUCACCAGCUGUUUGACAUUUGACACUUCAACAUUAAGGGGAAGAAGAAGAAACAGUGUUAGGUCAGGUGACCACAUGGUUUCUAAAAUAACUGACAGGAAGUAACC
Molecule: long non-coding RNA, 4380 nt
Filed under: Oreochromis niloticus (Nile tilapia)
Lineage: Eukaryota; Metazoa; Chordata; Actinopteri; Cichliformes; Cichlidae
Description: lncRNA (ENSONIG00000032705.1)
Source: RNAcentral